This 265-nucleotide signal recognition particle RNA is filed under the name Fidelibacterota bacterium. RNAcentral's name for it is "signal recognition particle sRNA large type". It matches the Rfam family "Bacterial large signal recognition particle RNA". Rfam says of the family: The signal recognition particle (SRP) is a universally conserved ribonucleoprotein involved in the co-translational targeting of proteins to membranes. The record is from RNAcentral. Lineage: Bacteria; Pseudomonadati; Fidelibacterota.
CCGUGCUAAAUGGGGAGUUAGCGGUGCCCUGUAACUUGCAAUCCGCUUUAGCAAGAUUGAUGUCACGAGAAGGCUUUUGCUGAAUGGAAUGAGAAGAUAAAGUAGCGAUGAAGUUUCAAUCUAUUGCAAUGGCUUGAUUAUGAACCCCGUCAGGUCCGGAAGGAAGCAGCGGUAAGUAAUUCAAAUCAUGUGCCGAUAGAAUCUGAAAUGGAGCUUACUCAUUAUUCUUGUUUUAUGAACAGAGAAGUCAACUUACGAUGCACGG